UGGGGAAUUUUGGACAAUGGGCGCAAGCCUGAUCCAGCAAUGCCGCGUGCAGGAAGAAGGCCUUCGGGUUGUAAACUGCUUUUGUCCGGAACGAAACGGUCUUGGUUAAUACCUGGGGCUAAUGACGGUACCGUAAGAAUAAGCACCGGCUAACUACGUGCCAGCAGCCGCGGUAAUACGUAGGGUGCAAGCGUUAAUCGGAAUUACUGGGCGUAAAGCGUGCGCAGGCGGUUUUGUAAGACAGGCGUGAAAUCCCCGGGCUCAACCUGGGAAUGGCGCUUGUGACUGCAAAGCUGGAGUGCGGCAGAGGGGGAUGGAAUUCCGCGUGUAGCAGUGAAAUGCGUAGAUAUGCGGAGGAACACCGAUGGCGAAGGCAAUCCCCUGGGCCUGCACUGACGCUCAUGCACGAAAGCGUGGGGAGCAAACAGGAUUAGAUACCCUGGUAGUCCACGCCCUAAACGAUGUCAACUGGUUGUUGGGUCUCUUCUGACUCAGUAACGAAGCUAACGCGUGAAGUGACCGCCUGG
RNAcentral lists this ribosomal RNA (527 nucleotides) under uncultured bacterium. RNAcentral's name for it is "bacterial SSU rRNA". It matches the Rfam family "Bacterial small subunit ribosomal RNA", at positions 355 to 876 of the family's 1533-position model. The record is from RNAcentral.